This 1965-nucleotide long non-coding RNA is filed under the name Capsicum annuum. RNAcentral's name for it is "long non-coding RNA (CANN_LNC019005)". Lineage: Eukaryota; Viridiplantae; Streptophyta; Magnoliopsida; Solanales; Solanaceae. The record is from RNAcentral.
CGGUAUUAGCAUAGUUGUUUCAGUGUGUCUUUUAAAUGAUGUUUGGGGACAAUUUAGUAUUUUAGCACCUUUUGAAGAUGAGUUCUACUCUCUCCUAACAAACACAUGUCCUCCAUGUGCCACCCAUUAUAGUUAUUUAUUUCUUUUCUAAAGGCUACACCCAGUAACCUAGAUGACCAUUCACUUUUAUCCUCCCUAUGUGCCGCCUUUGAUCCGUAUCACCCCCAUCUCUGCUGUAAAUGCUGCCAUAAUAGGAUUUUUGCUCCGAUGAAUCAGUGUGUUGUGUUUAUCUUCCUAAAAUACACAUAGUUUUAUUAUUGCUCUAUAUAAUUGUGUUAGUUUCUUUAUGUUAUUGAUUAUUAAUUAUGCAAACUUUAGUACCUUUUUAUUGUGUUUUACAGAUUGAAUUCUGUGAUAUUUAUCAAAGAUUAAUUUAUUUUGAAAAUAUGUGUUUAUACAGAAUUCAUAUCCAUGGUCACCUACAAUUAGAGAUUUUGGAAUCCUAAUAUUCCAUAGAUUCAUGGCACUUGGACCCAUGGGGCGUGAGUGAAGGUGUGAGUUGAGGUUUCAAAGUUGAAAAGUGAAGUCUGAUUCCCAUGAAGCAACCCAUGAUCGAUGAAUCCAACCCACGACUCGUUAGUUGGAGUCGUGAGUCAAGUACUGAAGCUUUAGGAUUAGUUUUGAUUUUCACGAGUCAAAUCAUGACUCGUGGAUCUAAUCCACGACCCAACCCACGAGUCGUAGGUGCUACAGACCUGUUUCUCUUACACAAUUUAGGAUAUGAUUUAUUUUUCAUCUAUAAACAAUCCUAUACAGUUCUAUGCUUAUGUUACACGCUCUAUAUACUUUCUUUUUACAUUAUUUUGAGUUUUGAGAUACAUUAUUGAUCUUGAAAUCAUUGAUAUUGAUUUUUAAGAUUUUUUAAUCAAUUUGAGAUUUUGGUUUUUCAUUUUAUUCUUGUAAGUUCAACAUUAUGCUUUUAUCUAUGAAAUCUUUAUGUGUGCUUACGAUCAUGAGUAGCUAAAUCCCAUAACUAAGGUUAUGGGUGUCAAAAUGUUUUUUCACGCGAAAGGUCUAAGAAUUUUUUCAUCUAAAGUGACAAUAUUGAUUAGGGAUUAUUUAAUUUAUAGAGACACCACUUGAAAUUGAUUUAUGGUAUUUCAAGUCACCUUAUUAAAUCCCUAGUCAAAAGAAAAUGACUCUUUAUUUUGGUCUACGAAAACAGAAGAUCGAGUAAGGAAUUCUGUUGACUGAGGGAAAGGUAUGAGGCAUCACUCGAGUCCCAUGGUUCUAGCAUGGUUGAUUUUAUCAACUUAUACUUAAGAUAUUUUGGAUAUAUUGCGUUAGUAGGCCUUGAUUCAAUCAUUUUAUAAUGUAGCGAUAAUAUCUAUCUAUUCCUCCUGGUUAGUCUAGUGAAGGUUAAUUUUAGGACAAUCUUUGCCAAGGUACAUUAUUGCAUCUGUGAAUUAUUUUUAAAAGUUUCAGAAAGAUGCGUUCACUGCAUUAUUAAUCAAGACAAAUAUAUUAAACGUGCCUGAAGCUUAUCUAGCGUUAAAGGAAUUGGGUCGUCUCUUGUAAACCCGAGACAAUUUUUGUCUUAUCCAUUUUUACUUUUUACUCUUUUUUUAUUUUGCAACAAGUCUUGAAUUAAUUCACAACUCGCCACACUAUCUUACAAAUAGAUUUUUUUCUCUCUUUUCUUUUAUUAUUUAUGACGAGUUUUAGAUGAGUCCGCAACCUUUCUUACUCAAGCUUACAUUAAUUAAUAAUUAUUUAGAUCUUAAAAUCGAUUUAGACCUACGAUAAAUAUUUUAAUAAUGAAAGGAUUGAACCAACAUUUAUCAUGAUAAACAUAAAUAAGGUAUCAAAUUUUGCAAUACUACAACUUACCCAUAGAAACACAAGAAAAAAGACAAUUAAGCAAAUUCAAAUGGCCAUAUAACAAAUCUCUUAUCUUGGUUUCCC